RNAcentral lists this ribosomal RNA (253 nucleotides) under uncultured bacterium. Its description in RNAcentral is "partial 16S ribosomal RNA". It matches the Rfam family "Bacterial small subunit ribosomal RNA", at positions 524 to 776 of the family's 1533-position model. The record is from RNAcentral.
UACGGAGGAUGCGAGCGUUAUCCGGAUUUAUUGGGUUUAAAGGGUGCGUAGGUGGGCUAUUAAGUCAGUGGUGAAAGUUUGUCGCUCAACGAUAAAAUUGCCGUUGAAACUGGUGGUCUUGAGUAUGGAUGAAGUAGGCGGAAUGCGUGGUGUAGCGGUGAAAUGCAUAGAGAUCACGCAGAACUCCAAUUGCGAAGGCAGCUUACUAAGGCAUAACUGACACUGAAGCACGAAAGCGUGGGUAUCAAACAGG